RNAcentral lists this ribosomal RNA (255 nucleotides) under uncultured bacterium. RNAcentral's name for it is "partial 16S ribosomal RNA". It matches the Rfam family "Bacterial small subunit ribosomal RNA", at positions 524 to 776 of the family's 1533-position model. The record is from RNAcentral.
UACGGGGGGAGCAAGCGUUGUUCGGAUUUACUGGGCGUAAAGGGCGCGUAGGCGGCCACCGCAAGUCGACUGUGAAAUCUCCGGGCUUAACUCGGAAAGGUCAGCCGAUACUGCGGGGCUAGAGUGCAGAAGGGGCAACUGGAAUUCUCGGUGUAGCGGUGAAAUGCGUAGAUAUCGAGAGGAACACCUGCGGCGAAGGCGGGUUGCUGGGCUGACACUGACGCUGAGUGUGCGAAAGCUAGGGGAGCGAACGGG